CCAAUAGCGUAUAUUAAAGUUGUUGCAGUUAAAAAGCUCGUAGUUGAAUUUCGGGAUUAGUACGCUGGUCGUGCCUUCGGUAUGUACUGGUGUUACUGGUUCCUACCUUCUGACGAACCGUCAUGUCAUUAAUUUGGUGUGGCGGGAAAUCAGGACUGUUACUUUGAAAAAAUUAGAGUGUUUAAAGCAGGCUCGCGCUUGAAUACAUUAGCAUGGAAUAAUGAAAUAGGACGUUCGAUCCUAUUUUGUUGGUUUCUAGGAUUGACGUAAUGAUUAAUAGGGAUAGUUGGGGGCAUUAGUAUUCAAUUGUCAGAGGUGAAAUUCUUGGAUUUAUUGAAGACUAACUACUGCGAAAGCAUUUGCCAAGGAUGUUUUCAUUAAUCAAGAACGAAAGUUAGGGGAUCGAAGACGAUCAGAUACCGUCGUAGUCUUAACCAUAAACUAUGCCGACUAGGGAUCGGAUGAUGUUAUUUUUAAUGACUCAUUCGGCGCCUUACA
RNAcentral lists this unclassified non-coding RNA (498 nucleotides) under uncultured Glomus. Its description in RNAcentral is "SSU rRNA". It matches the Rfam family "Eukaryotic small subunit ribosomal RNA", at positions 591 to 1092 of the family's 1831-position model. Lineage: Eukaryota; Fungi; Glomeromycota; Glomeromycetes; Glomerales; Glomeraceae. The record is from RNAcentral.